Molecule: RNA transcript, 1506 nt
Organism: Ochotona princeps (American pika)
Lineage: Eukaryota; Metazoa; Chordata; Mammalia; Lagomorpha; Ochotonidae
Gene: DNAJC5B
Gene name: DnaJ heat shock protein family (Hsp40) member C5 beta
Exons: 8
Source: RefSeq, a predicted model, not a curated record
GCAUAAGCAUUCUGUGACAUCACAAUGUCCAGCCCAGGCUUGAUUUAACUCCUCAGCAAGACCAGUGCCAGGAAGGUCAGUCAUAGACCGGAGCGGUGGAGCACUUCCCGAAGGAGCUCGGUGGCAUCAGCCAGCCAUGAUGAAGGCUCAGGGGCGUAACCAAUUGGCUGAUAGAGUAACAAACGAAGAGUAACCUGACUCCAUUGACCCACUCAGCUCUGCGUAGGAACAUGGGAAGUAGCAGCAGUUGGCUUUGAAACAGGGGAAUAAGUAUGGAAUAGCUCUUUUCAUUGUUGCCUUCUUUUAUUUCUUUGCACGUCUAUUUCCAGACCAGUUGAAAACAGCAGGUUGCUCCUGUUUGAAAACACAGAAUUGGAGUUAUCGGAGCAGGUGCUCUAAGUGACUGGUCAUAUUUCUGAGUGGCUCCAUCUUCAGAUUGCUGACUAUACCUAUGUAAAUUGUCAAAUAACAAUCAGAAGGUGGCAUGAUGAGCAUGGAGUUAGAUGAGUCAAAUAAACGUUUAACAUCAUUGGCUGAAAUUGUUAGGUGGAUUUCUCUCAACAGGAACCAAUCACCUGGCCAAAAUAGACUUGAAUCAUUUGACUCUUUCCCCUCAGUAGUACCUGGCUGGAGCCUGACAAAAUGGCGUGCGAUACACCUUACCAACGGCAGCGGACUGUGUCAACAACUGGAGAAACUCUGUAUGAAAUUCUUGGUCUGCAUAAGGGAGCAUCACAUGAAGAAAUUAAGAAAACUUACAGAAAACUGGCCCUGAAACACCAUCCAGACAAGAAUCCAGGUGACCCUGCUGCUGCUGAGAAGUUUAAAGAAAUCAACAACGCCCACACAAUACUGACGGACAUGUCGAAGAAGAACAUAUACGACAAGUAUGGGUCCCUGGGACUCUAUGUGGCUGAGCAAUUUGGAGAAGAAAACGUGAAUACCUACUUUAUGCUGUCAAGCUGGUGGGCAAAGGCUCUGUUCAUCAUCUUUGGCCUCCUGACAGGCUGCUAUUUUUGCUGCUGCCUGUGCUGCUGCUGCAAAUGCUGCUGUGGACACUGCCAGCCAAAAUCAUCGACGCCUUCAGAAGAGACCUUCUACAUGUCCACAGAGGACCUGGAGAUGCAGAUCCAGAUAGAUGCAGAGAAAGAAAUGGAUUUCCCAAUUGUUCUCCAGCCCACAAAUGAGAAGACACAGCUAAUCAAAGAAGGAUCUAGAAGUUACUGCACAGACUCUUGAUAACGAGCUUACUGAGGGUCCACAGAGCCUCCUCUUGGUCCAGCUAGGUCUCCAGGUCACCUCUGCUUCAGAACUCCCCACAGCAUUGAAGGCAGAUCAGAGCUACUAUGAAAACAGCCAGCUGGUCCACGAGGCUGAAGAGGCCUGGGAAGCAAGUGUCUCACUUGCUGAUGAGGAGGACUUCUUCCAGGGUGUAACAGAUCGUGGAAGCCCCUUGCUCCACAGAAGAAUCUUCUAUCCACUCAUUCACUCCCUGAAGGGCUGGAA